GUUGUGGUGGCUCAGUGGGUAAAGCUUUGUGUUACAGAUGUGAAAGUCAUGGGUGCAAAUCCCACCACUGACA
Pangasianodon gigas (Mekong giant catfish) is the source of this 73-nucleotide non-coding RNA. The record is from the annotation of a GenBank genome assembly. NCBI's taxonomy places the organism in Eukaryota, Metazoa, Chordata, Actinopteri, Siluriformes, Pangasiidae.